GACGAACGCUGGCGGCGUGCCUAAUACAUGCAAGUUGAGCGAUGAAGAUUGGUGCUUGCACCAAUUUGAAGAGCAGCGAACGGGUGAGUAACGCGUGGGGAAUCUGCCUUUGAGCGGGGGACAACAUUUGGAAACGAAUGCUAAUACCGCAUAACAACUUUAAACAUAAGUUUUAAGUUUGAAAGAUGCAAUUGCAUCACUCAAAGAUGAUCCCGCGUUGUAUUAGCUAGUUGGUGAGGUAAAGGCUCACCAAGGCGAUGAUACAUAGCCGACCUGAGAGGGUGAUCGGCCACAUUGGGACUGAGACACGGCCCAAACUCCUACGGGAGGCAGCAGUAGGGAAUCUUCGGCAAUGGACGAAAGUCUGACCGAGAAACGCCGAGUGAGUGAAGAAGGUUUUCGGAUCGUAAAACUCUGUUGGUAGAGAAGAACGUUGGUGAGAGUGGAAAGCUCAUCAAGUGACGGUAACUACCCAGAAAGGGACGGCUAACUACGUG
Molecule: ribosomal RNA, 497 nt
Filed under: uncultured bacterium
Lineage: Bacteria
Description: partial 16S ribosomal RNA
Rfam family: Bacterial small subunit ribosomal RNA
Source: RNAcentral